CUCUGUCAAGUCGGCGACUGCGACGGUCGCUCUCCCUUUGCUUUUCUCGUGUCGCCGCUGGCUCGCGACGUGCUCCGCCCAGCACGCACUUUGUGCGAGGAGGAGGCCCUCGCCGCUGUGCUUUGAGCGCGCCUGUGUGCCGGCUCCCGCUCUUCGAGCCAGUGUGCAUAACGAUGUUGUCUAGUGCUCACAGCGCGGCAUUCGCGCGGCCCACAGCCGCUCUCUGGACUUCCGCGCGCAGCUUUGGUGCCGGCCCGACGCGACUCUUGCUUGGGCUGGAGCAGGUGCAGGAUGUGCCCACCUCAACCGACCGCAAGCCCACCGGUAUGCACCGCGGUCCUGGCAAGCGCCAGACCGCACCCAAGGAGGCGGCACAGUAUCAAUUCAUAAAGAAGUGGGACUUACAGAUGCGCGAGGCAUGGGACGAGCUUGAGCCGUUCAAGGGGCUGCCAAAGCCCAAGGCGCAGUUUGGCAACGAAGCCGCCGAGGUCAUCUGGCCAUACGCGCUGCUGCUUGAGAAUGUCAUCAAGGUACACCCGUACACCAAGUCCAUUUAUGUCUAUUAUAGUCAGCGGCAGAGCACACCGCUGGGAGAGCUGGCGGCACGAGUGGCGAAACGUGUGUCGCAGGCAUAUCUGAUCCCCAUCACCUUCCACAACUCGCAUGUGUACGUGGAGGCGGAGAUGCUACUCGAGUACAGCGAAACACCAUGGGUUGUCGUCCACUGCCUCGACGGCACACACAAACUCAUUCCUGUAAAGCCGCAGGCUGGUCAGACCGUGAAGGAGGGUGCCGAGGAGGUUCUGAACGGCAUCGUGAGCGCCUGCAACGAAAUAGGCAACGCAGUGAAGAACCCUAAGGAGGUGAUGAGAUUGCUCAGUGAGCGUCCUCUGCAGAACCAGUACGUGCGCGUGAACUACCAGUGGUACGGCGACACGCCUGAGGAGCGCAUGAGCCACCUCGUCAAGUGGGACUACGAGCCGGAGGAGGUAGUACCGCAGUUGCGCAACCGCACGCAGCAUGUGCUAGACUGGAUGAACUACGACGGUAAUCUGCCAACGCACAACUCCGUGCGGGUGAACAUUCGCAGGGAAGCUGCUCGCAUGCGCAAGCCUAACGUGUCUGCCGGGCCAAAGACCUUCUUCAACUCCUCCGGCUCACGGGCCAACGCGCGUACUGCACGCUUUAAUAAUUCUCGCAGCUCGCAGUCGUAAAGCAUGACGCCCAUGGAGAAGAUGAACGUGUUUUUCAGGGUAAAAGCGAGGCCACUGGCAAGGCUGGGGGGGGGGGGGCACCCAAAACAUGGCACCCGUAAGGCAAAGGAGAGUGUUGUGUGUGUGCGCGCGCGCUCCGCAUCCCCAGCGGAGGUAUGUACUCUCAUAUGCAGGUGUGUCGGGGAGGGACAAUUCUACGCGUAUCGUGCUUUCACUGCUGUUCUCUGUCGGUGCAUCUACGUUCAAGUUGUUGGAAGUAAGGGGGAAGAGGCAAUCAAGCAUGCGCCGCCUAGUCACUGCGCCCCGUGUAGACGCUUGGUGUGGCAGUCACCUCCCGUCCCGCCUCUGCGCGCCUGCAAGUUGGUGUUUUGGGCUCCCUUUUCCUUUGCCAC
RNAcentral lists this unclassified non-coding RNA (1606 nucleotides) under Leishmania donovani. RNAcentral's name for it is "gene:LdHU3.36.4230(CDS-product:hypothetical_prote in_conserved)". Lineage: Eukaryota; Euglenozoa; Kinetoplastea; Trypanosomatida; Trypanosomatidae. The record is from RNAcentral.